This 755-nucleotide long non-coding RNA is filed under the name Helianthus annuus (common sunflower). Its description in RNAcentral is "hypothetical non coding rna". Lineage: Eukaryota; Viridiplantae; Streptophyta; Magnoliopsida; Asterales; Asteraceae. The record is from RNAcentral.
GUGUGCUCCUAAUUUUUAUCAAACAUAAUGUCAAUAAAAGCUAAAUAAGUUAAGUUAGGUUAACCUACAUAUUACACAAAAGGUUCGAUUAAGUUAAGUUAACCUACAUAUCACACAUAAGCUAAAUAACUACUAGAGUAAACACAUCCAUCCGCUCAACUCUCCGGUGGUAGAUGGAAGUUGAGGACAUGCCUCCCAAACACAGAGACCACCAGGUGGACCACCAAAGAUGAGCUUGAUAAGCUCAUUGUCAGGUCAACUGUAAAAAAAACCAACAGUGAACCAAAUCAGACCCUAAACCCUGUUUAUAACAUGAUAAUGACUAAAUCUGACCCUGAUUAACUAACAUUGGCCGAUUAUACCUUUGGUGUGGCGGAUGAUAUAGCGGGUUAUCCAACAAAAGACCGACAUUUUCACUGAUCUGAAGAUAGCGGUUGUGGUUGUUGUGAUUGGACGAGGAGAAGAAUGAUCGGACGAGGAGAUGUCGCCGGAGAGACACUGAUCGCCGCCGGUGUGUUAUGUCGCCGGAGAAGAAGGUUGAAGGUCGAUGGCAAAAGAAAGAAAAAGAAAGAUUAACAGAGAAAUGGGAGAAGGGGUAGGGGUGGGGGUGGGGUAGGGGUAGAGAAAAGGUGGGCCCACUUUUUAAAAAAAAAAAUAUUAUAAUUGGUAUACUGUUUUAAUUAUUUUCAUUGAAGUAAGGGCAAUUUCGUCAUUUCACAUCCAUUUAACACAAAAAACUAACCUCCAUCUGCUUC